This 253-nucleotide ribosomal RNA is filed under the name uncultured bacterium. RNAcentral describes it as "partial 16S ribosomal RNA". It matches the Rfam family "Bacterial small subunit ribosomal RNA", at positions 524 to 776 of the family's 1533-position model. The record is from RNAcentral.
GACAGAGGUGCCAAGCGUUAGGCGGAAUCACUGGGCUUAAAGCGUGUGUAGGCGGGUGCCUAAGUACCUUGUGAAAUCCCCGGGCUCAACCUGGGAAUUGCAUUGGAGACUGCAAGGCUAGAAUCUGGCAGAGGGGGGUAGAAUUCCACGUGUAGCAGUGAAAUGCGUAGAGAUGUGGAGGAACACCGAUGGCGAAGGCAGCCCCCUGGGUCAAGAUUGACGCUCAUGCACGAAAGCGUGGGGAGCAAACAGG